RNAcentral lists this unclassified non-coding RNA (239 nucleotides) under rhizosphere metagenome. RNAcentral describes it as "partial ribosomal RNA internal transcribed spacer region". The record is from RNAcentral.
GUUGGUGAACCAGCGGAGGGAUCAUUACCGAGUUUACAACUCCCAAACCCAAUGUGAACGUUACCAAACUGUUGCCUCGGCGGGGUCACGCCCCGGGUGCGUAAAAGCCCCGGAACCAGGCGCCCGCCGGAGGAACCAACCAAACUCUUUCUGUAGUCCCCUCGCGGACGUAUUUCUUACAGCUCUGAGCAAAAAUUCAAAAUGAAUCAAAACUUUCAACAACGGAUCUCUUGGCUCUC